This 307-nucleotide unclassified non-coding RNA is filed under the name Hevea brasiliensis (rubber tree). The record is from RNAcentral. Lineage: Eukaryota; Viridiplantae; Streptophyta; Magnoliopsida; Malpighiales; Euphorbiaceae.
CUGAAGCACAAGCAAUUUCUCCUUUUUUUGUCUCAUCCAAUCGAUUAUAAAACCGUAGUACAUAAACGUCCCCAUGAUUGACCUUUCGACGCCCUAGUUCCUCCACCAUGAGUGUAGGCCCAACUACACCUCUCCUAAUAGGUUUAAUGCCAGGGUUCUCAUUAGGAUCACGCUUGUACAUCUCAACAUAUUUGCCUCUUAUAAACAGAAACCUGAGGUGACAAUACUCAUGGCCAAUAGAAUUGGUACCUAAAUGAUAAACCCAACCAAAAUAUUCCCAAAUCCCUCCCUCCUUGUCCUCUAAAAC